UACGGGGGGGGCAAGCGUUGUUCGGAAUUACUGGGCGUAAAGGGCUCGUAGGCGGCCAACUAAGUCAGACGUGAAAUCCCUCGGCUUAACCGGGGAACUGCGUCCGAUACUGGUUGGCUUGAAUCCGGGAGAGGGAUGUGGAAUUCCAGGUGUAGCGGUGAAAUGCGUAGAUAUCUGGAGGAACACCGGUGGCGAAGGCGACAUCCUGGACCGGUAUUGACGCUGAGGCGCGAAAGCCAGGGGAGCAAACGGG
RNAcentral lists this ribosomal RNA (253 nucleotides) under uncultured bacterium. Its description in RNAcentral is "partial 16S ribosomal RNA". It matches the Rfam family "Bacterial small subunit ribosomal RNA", at positions 524 to 776 of the family's 1533-position model. The record is from RNAcentral.